RNA transcript from Acanthochromis polyacanthus (spiny chromis), 6915 nucleotides. It is a transcript of the gene named chromosome 6 C1orf127 homolog, with no coding region annotated. The record is from RefSeq and is a predicted model, not a curated record. The transcript is spliced from 11 exons. NCBI's taxonomy places the organism in Eukaryota, Metazoa, Chordata, Actinopteri, Pomacentridae.
CUAAGGCCUCAACUGUCAGGUUGAAAGCUGUCGUCCAUGACUGAUGUCAGCUUGGCAAACAUCCUCCUCUAAUCCACCUCCUCAGUGGAGUUCAGGACAGAGCUGGUCCUCCUGAUCAGGACUUCCCUCUGAUGUUUUCUGUCACUUCAUCAUGGAUCAGAUCAGAUUAAACAUCCUGCUCAGAACUAUUGUUUUACAGUGCUUCAUCACGACGAAUGUGUUUUCCAAUCAGAAACAAGAAUGGAUUGAUACUCCAACAGCAACAUUAACAGAAGAGGAUGUGACGUGUUUCUCUGAAUACAUGGAGCUGUGGAUUCACAGCUCAAGAAUCGAAGGGCUCGGAGUCUGGCUCUCUGGGGCUUUACAGAUCCAAGGUAAACCUGCCUGACUCAUAAAUGCUAAAAUAUUCACAUACAUUUUAAAAAAAAAAUCUUUGUGUCAUCUCUUUUUUUUCCCACAAGCCAACCUGGCAUCUUUGGAUCACCUGAACCUCCAGCUGUCUGCUUGUGGAUUCUCUCUGUACAAAGACCCCAACAACAACUUCAUUUUUACAGUCAGCUACACUGGAUGUUUGGUCCAGCAACAGCACGGCUUUAAUGUCCUCACACUGAAUCUGGUGAAACGGAUGACUCGAUUCAGAGGAAGGCCUCACAGUUUGGUCAUGAAGUGUCCCGUAGUUUCAAUCCAGAGCCGAGAGAAAAUCCAGUGUGACCCUGAGUAUAUUCAGGUGAUCAGACAAGUUCCCCAUGGAAACUGGGAUAAUGAGCUGCCCUGGUCUCUGUCUCUGAGCGACCACCUCAUUGUAGCGCUGGAAGAUGCCAGUUUGAUCCAGAUGAACGUCGACGUGACCGCAGAAGACAUCACAGUUCAGGGCAGGAGGAGGGAGAUCUUAAGUCCAGUCAAAAUAAUGGAACAUGAGGGGGAAUUUUUGGCCUUGAAGCUGGUCAGGGGUCAGUUUGCCUACAGCAUGGAAGCCACAUGUCCAAAAGGGAAAUAAAGAUUUGUUGUUCCAAUAUGUGGCAUCUCUACAACAGAAUGGAAGUCAUGAAACAGCUAAGUACGCUUUACAUUGUGAAUGGUAAUGAGCAGAUGAACAGUGUGGUCAUAUGCAAUUACAAGUCGGUAACAAGACACUCAGAGUUAAUGAGGUUGUCUGUGCUGCUUGUUGAAUGUUGUCCUGCUCUUCCUGAAGGACUUGAUGAAGUUGGUGGGAGGCAGGAUCCCAUUGUUGGACACGUUCAUCCAGAAUAUUCCAUGUGAAACCAUUUGUUAGAUGACAGACGUUGGGCUUGUGCACAUUCAAGUGUACUGUCUAUAGCUCUGACCUGCCAACAUCCAAUUUAUUAACAGUCUAUUCUCAUCUUUCUCUUGUCUUCUUGUGUCAUUUGAAUAAAACCAUAUUUUUAAGGUGGCCUUUUACAGUCGCUGGUCACACCAUCUGAUCAUUUAAUGCUAGUCAGGUAUGGAUUAACUCAAUACCUGAGAAUUUUUCACCUAUAAACACUUUUUUUUGCACAAAUGUCUGAUUGUAACCCUUUUCUAACCAAAACAAGAUAAAUUAUAUUUUUGUUUUACUUUUUUUGUAAGUCACAAAAGAAGAAAUUUUUUAUGCUGCAUUUAUGUUCUUGUUCAGGCCUGCACUUAUCUAUCUAUCUAUCUAUCUAUCUAUCUAUCUAUCUAUCUAUCUAUCUAUCUAUCUAUCUAUCUAUCUAUCUAUCUAUCUAUCUAUCUAUCCAUCCAUCCAUCCAUCCAUCCAUCCAUCCUUGGUUCAGUCAAGCUUCUUCUAAAGCAGGGGUGUCAAAGUCAUUUUGGUCCAGGCAAGAUUACAAGUAAUCUUCUCAACCUGUGUGCGGAGGGGUCACACGUAAGGUCUGCCGACCGGUACCGGAGCGCCGGAGUUCCGACCUGGCCCGGGGAAUACAGCUGCAAUAUCAAAAAAUACUCCAAAAAUUAUGCCCUACAUCACUACAGCACCUGUUUGAUCAAACUGCAGCUCCCACAUUGUCAGCUAGGGGCGCUCUGUCUCAUUCGGAGCGGGCAGCACCAUAGAUAUAUACAUCUAUAUCUAUGGGCAGCACCGCGACUCGGCGCUUGCGGCGGGUGGCAGCAAUACGGAAGCCGGGCCUGCCAGUGGCGUUCUGUCUGUUGGAGUUCCGCCUGCUUUUCUGCAGGCCCUGACGCGCUCAUCAGUAAGACGUCUUUGUCAACAAAGAAAAAAGUGGACAUGGAGUGUUGGGGUUUCCAAGACAGAUGGACCACUUCCUGUUCGUUCACUGUCAACUGUCAGUCGACUGUGUUCUUAAAUCAGUGGCCAUCGGACAAACUCGAUCAGCAACUGUAUUUCUACUGAAGCUUAUAUUUGCCAACAUUUUCCAAUCUGCUCUAUCAACAAGCUAGAACUCGAUUUUAACCUUGUGGGACUUUAAAAUGAAAUCAUCUAAGAAGUUUGGAGGUGUCCCAGGUAGAUACUGCUGUUUUGUAAGAGGUCACAAGCCACUGAUAUAGUGUUUAAUCUUGAAUCGUAUUGCAUGAGUUAAUCAUGAGUGUUCUUCAUGUUUUUAACUGAGCACAUAAUCUGUAAAGUAAAGGUACUGUAUCUGCUGAGCAAGUGUAGUGGUUUAAAGAGUGUAAUAUUUGUUUCUCAAAUGUAGUGAAGUAGGUGCAUAAAGUAGCAUUAAACCUGAAAAUAGUAGGAUCUUGGUAACUAAUUUUGUAUCUGAUGUACAUUUAAGUGAUUCCAACCGGAGCAGAGAUGACUGUGCUGCAUAUUUUCAAGCGCUGCAUGGGUUUGACCAAACGAGGCAGGUCUUCCAGUGAAGCUCUGACUGUCAGCGAUGUGUCCGUUAACCAGACAGAAAACUUCACCGUGAACGAAACGAGUCAAUUUGUGACUCUGACUCUUCCCACAGCACAAAUACUCCAAUACAAGCCCUGCACGGACAGCAAACAGCUCGUGCAGCCGUUCUACAGGGCGGAUGUUGUGCUCACCUUCAAAGAGACAAAUCACAAAAUGCACUGGAGCAUGGAGAACACACUGCCAUGCGUAGCUCGGCCUGAUGACACGUCGUCACACAUCACAUCUUCUCCUGGUCCAAACAUCUCAGAUCUGUCCAGGCUCAACCUCAGACACAAGAAUGUAACUACAGGAGCCCCGUUCUUGGACUCGUCCGCCGUCCCCAAAGAGAAACCAAAUCCCAGAGACUCAUUUAAAGGGAACACUGCAGGGUUUUCCUCAACUGAUUCUCCUCACACACAGACAGAUGUCAGCACUUUUAAUUUUAACACUGAUGAGAUUCCAGAGAGUCGAAGCGGAAACGGAUCCUCCAGGUUUGAUAAUGACACCGUCGCCUCCAUUAAUGCGACGGAAAUAAGCUUUUUUGAUUUUCUACAUGCAGCCACAAAUACCUCAGCAGAGCCGGAGUUACUUGAAACAAAAGCAACAGCAGAAGCAUCCACAGUGUCUUUAACUGCACUGCUUCCACCUGAACAACAGUUCAACACAAGCGCCAGGAAUGAAGACCAGCAAAAGCAGAGAAGACUGAGGGGAUUUGGAAGAACUAGCAACCUGACGAUAUUUGUAGUAUUGUCACAACUCUCUUAUCCAGUGCAACGGCUGCAGCAAGCAACCCUUUUCAGUGUAUUUUAGUACUACUUGCGUGUUUUUUUAGGUGUCAGCUUCACUUUAGAUUAACUUCAACAUAAAAAAUAUAAUUCAUAUCGUAAUAGUGAAAAACUUAUGUUGAAAAAGAAAAUUUCCAUCAUAAAAAGCAUGACAUGACUUUUAAAAAAUGCAUUUUUCUCCUUUCUUUGUUUAUUUCAUGUUUUCUAAGUCUUACUAGACUUGAUUUACAGUUUUAGUGUAGUGCCAGACUUUUUAUUUGGCUUGACAAUGAGAAACAAUAUUGGCAAUACCAGAAGAACCCAUGAACCCAGGCAAAAUGGUUAAAACUAGAAAACCUGCUGUAUGAUUUACUAGAGAAGUUGUAGUGAUUAACAAAGAUUUUUAGCUUGGCACCAUAUUAUGUUUGAGGACUGAAAUGAAAAACAAAACAAAAAAACGAUGUGUUCAGACAUCAUAAUAAAAACAAAACUACAACAUAAUGUGAAGGAAGCAAAUCUGUCACAACUCUCCUCUAUGAAUAAGAACAUUAAUAGAAAGAUAUCAUCCUUCCUAUUAACUAGACAACUACUUUUGUAUAACAAAAGGCUCAUUACCAACAGCUUUGAUUAGAUAAAUGUGUAUAAAUAUAGAGAAAGGAUCGCAGUGGUCCAUUUUAACUUCAUUUCAAGAAUAAGGUUUUCAGUUUAUGCUGAUCUUGACUCAUUGUGGGCCGACAUGCUCAUGAGACAAAGUGGGAUUAAAGGAGUGCUGCUAUGUGUAAGGGAGGAUGAAACAUUCAAGUAGUAAAUAGUAUUGUAAAUCAAGCUCUCUGUAGUACAGUACAUUACUAUUGUAGUGGGAAUAUUGCAUGAUCAGCAUCAAGUUCUAGAAACAUAUUAAGAAGGCUCUGCAGUUCAAGCGAUGUUUUGUUUUCAGCAGGAAGUAGUUUGUUUGGUUCCCAGAAUGUUCUCCUUAAAGGCAGGAUGUUGUCUAAAGACAUUCUGAAAAUGAUUUCCCUUAAACAUUUGCUGGAUGUUACUCUGAGGACAUUCCUCCUUUGUUAUCAUGUAACAUUGUGAUGAUGUUUUAUGGGUUUUAUAGCACUGUGGAACAUUGUGAGAACGUUUUAUAGAUGCAGGGUUUGGAAGCAGAGUGGUCUAAUCAACCUUCUGUAGUUUUUGUGUUUUCAAGAAUGGUCUACCAUUGGAAACGUCACUCUAACACUAUAUUUGGAUUUAGACCACUUGACCACGAAAAUCUAGACCACAAAAUGUUACAGGAAUGAUAUAAAACUCUAGCCUAGCCGCGCUAGACCCAUGCUCUGAAGACACAAGGGUCAAGGCACACUCGACAGGGAGGGAGGCGGGCUAAAAGGUUGUCUAUCAAAUCACUCUGCAGCAAUUGGGUAGGUAUACAACCAAUCAGCGCAACGAAUAGGCUCCUAGAGUGCCGGAAAUCAGAGGAUGCGGUAGUUCGGUGAAGCCUUAUUUAUACAGUCAAUGGGUGAAGCUCAAGUAUAUUACAGACAUGUUAACAGAAAGAUUAUUCAGAGUCGGUGCUAAUGGAGCUCAACGACUGUUGUUUUUGUUGUCGACCCUGGCAGAGAAUUAAAUUCGUUGCCGUGGGUUGUCUAGCGCGGCUAGGCUAGUUGUUUCCUGUUGUUUCUGUCAGAAUCGUCGCGCCUCUGUCGUCAUUUAGUUACGCCCGCCUUCUGACUCUACACUUCAUGGUGAUUCGUCCGGCCAGUUUUAGGAGCAUCCAACCUCGAGCCUUAUGGAGGGUAACUAGACCCACCCUGGCAGAGAAUUAAAUUCGUUGCCGUGGGUUGUCUAGCGCGGCUAGGCUAAUAAAACUCAGUUCGACCACUCUGCUUCUAACCCUCUCAGAUUCUGUAAUGUGUUCCUUCAACAACUUCUCCAAAACAUCCCCAAAAUAUUGCAGGGAAAAUGUUCCACCUUUGUUGAUAUGUCACAUAUCAAACAUUUUGUAAAAUAAUUGAGGCCUCCAAAACAUCCGAAAAACUUUUUUUUUUGUUAUUGUUAUGUUUCAGUUCACUUUUAACAUUAAAGGAACAUGAUUUGAAAGGUAAAUGUCCUUAAGACAUUCUUUAAUCAUUAGGAUCUAAGGUUUUUUGUUAAAAUAUUACUAGAACUUGUAAGCAAUGUUAGCCAAUGAUGUGGGAACGUUCCCUGCUUGCUGGGAAGGCCUUCUGAUUCUUUUAUUGUAGUUUACAUCGGUGCCACAUGCUUAGCGUCUGUUUGCAGUUGUGAAAAGGUGACGCGUUGGUCAGCGAAGGUUGAUUAUACAAGCAGAAAUACAGACAGACCUCUGCCAGCUAUUGCCUGAGGUUAGAUGUUAUCCAGACACAGGGAAGGCAGCCGUUAAAUAAACAUGUCUCUAUCUGAGCGGCACAACAGGCUGAUGAAGUGAAGACCCUGCAGUAGUUUCAGUUGAUGCCACCCUUCAGAGAAGCUGCCUUGAGCUACUGAAACUCAUAAUGAAGACUUAUUUUUUUGAUAAGUCAGACUAUCUGUUUGUCAGUGAUGAUUCGUAGACUUGAGAUGAGAUUUAAGCUUUACAAACAUGUACCUUUACUCACUUACAAAUACAGAACGUGUCUGAAUAAGCAUUGUUUAAGCUGCAGAGUUGCUGCUUUGUGUAUUUUGCUGCAGUACACUGAACCACCAGGAGAGGGCACUAUUGAAUAUGUUUUCAGAAACCUCUCUUGAUGAGCUGCAGGCUGCCUCCAGAUGAUCUUUUCCAAAUUAACCAGUUAUGUAUGUUUUUGUUGUGAACUUACAUUCAGUCAUCGAGCCUGGUUUCUAAACUGUACACUUAUCAUGAAAUAACUCUGGAAAAUCCAACAUGUAGUCGAGAGGUUGAGUUUAAUUGACCAUGUUUACCAGUGAAGUCAAUUAGUAGCUUUAAAAAUUACAAACUUAAGUAUAAUCUGUGCAUAAUCACAGGUGUGGAUCAGAAUAUGUUGACUGAAAUGGCUCGAGAUGUUUCACUUUUGUUUCUUUUCACCUUUGUUAUUGUGACCUCCCGGCAUGCACCAAAGCGUCUGUAAAUGAUAACAGUGCAGUGUUACGCAGUUACAUGCAUCAUAUACAAUGGGCUGUGGGGCAGAAAAUCUAAACUUCCUUGUGCCUUUGGUUCCCAUCUGCUCAGUGAACUUAUGAGCAGGAAAUGGAAUAAGUGGUGCAAAAAGCACGCCAACAUCCCCGUUCUUUCAUGUGGCCUCUCUCGGCCAUUACCCCUAUCUGUAUCGACUGUUAACUGUCUUUACAAAGUUAAAAAAUCCCUUUCAUGUU